Molecule: ribosomal RNA, 253 nt
Filed under: uncultured bacterium
Lineage: Bacteria
Description: partial 16S ribosomal RNA
Rfam family: Bacterial small subunit ribosomal RNA
Source: RNAcentral
UACGAAGGGUGCAAACGCUGCUCGGAAUCAUUGGGCGUAAAGCGCACGUAGGCGGCUUGGCAAGUCGGAUGUGAAAUCCCUCGGCUCAACCAAGGAAGUGCAUCCGAAACUGCCGAGCUUGAGUACUUAAGAGGAUCGCGGAAUUCCCGGUGUAGAGGUGAAAUUCGUAGAUAUUCGCAAGAACACCAGUGGCGAAGGCGGCUCACUGGCCCGGUACUGACGCUGAGGUGCGAAAGCGUGGGGAGCAAACAGG